This 388-nucleotide ribosomal RNA is filed under the name uncultured bacterium. RNAcentral's name for it is "bacterial SSU rRNA". It matches the Rfam family "Bacterial small subunit ribosomal RNA", at positions 28 to 417 of the family's 1533-position model. The record is from RNAcentral.
GAUAAACGCUGGCGGCGUGCAUGAGACAUGCAAGUCGAACGAAGGAACCGGGCUUGCUCGGGACCUGAGUGGCGGACGGCUGAGUAACGCGUAGGUGACCUGCCCCGAAGUGGGGAAUAACUGCCCGAAAGGGUGGCUAAUACCGCAUGUGGUCGCACGUUCGUUCGUGCGAGUAAAGCCGCAAGGCGCUUCGGGAGGGGCCUGCGUCCGAUUAGCUCGUUGGUGGGGUAACGGCUCACCAAGGCGACGAUCGGUAGGUGGUCUGAGAGGACGAUCACCCAGACUGGGACUGAGACACGGCCCAGACUCCUACGGGAGGCAGCAGUGGGGAAUUUUGGACAAUGGGCGCAAGCCUGAUCCAGCCAUGCCGCGUGCGGGAUGAAGGCCU